GAUGAACGCUAGCGGCAGGCUUAAUACAUGCAAGUCGAGGGGCAGCAAGGGUAGCAAUACCUGUUGGCGACCGGCAAACGGGUGCGGAACACGUACAGAACCUUCCUUUAAGUGGGGGAUAGCCCAUAGAAAUGUGGAUUAAUACCCCUUAAUAUUAUGUGAUGGCAUCAUUAUAUAAUUAAAGAUUUAUUGCUUAGAGAUGGCUGUGCGGCUGAUUAGGUAGUGGUGCGGGUAAUGGCCCACCAAGCCAACGAUCAGUAACUGGUGUGAGAGCACGACCAGUCACACGGGCACUGAGACACGGGCCCGACUCCUACGGGAGGCAGCAGUAAGGAAUAUUGGUCAAUGGACGCAAGUCUGAACCAGCCAUGCCGCGUGAAGGAU
This 384-nucleotide ribosomal RNA is filed under the name uncultured bacterium. Its description in RNAcentral is "bacterial SSU rRNA". It matches the Rfam family "Bacterial small subunit ribosomal RNA", at positions 28 to 409 of the family's 1533-position model. The record is from RNAcentral.